GAAAAUUUGCUCUUUUAGUAUUUCUCCAGUAGGCUUCCUGAAGAAGAAAGCCUCC
Oncorhynchus kisutch (coho salmon) is the source of this 55-nucleotide small nuclear RNA. Its record names the gene U7. It matches the Rfam family "U7 small nuclear RNA". From Rfam's summary of the family: Animal histone pre-mRNAs are spliced by a different mechanism than nuclear pre-mRNAs and self-splicing introns. This processing involves the U7 snRNP, which contains only one RNA species: U7. The 5' end of U7 RNA is thought to base-pair to a conserved spacer element downstream of the cleavage site in histone pre-mRNA. NCBI's taxonomy places the organism in Eukaryota, Metazoa, Chordata, Actinopteri, Salmoniformes, Salmonidae. The record is from Ensembl.